GUAAAUAUAAUUUAAUUAAAAUAUUAGAUUGUGAAUCUAAACAUAGAAAUUCACCCCUUCUUAUUUACC
This 69-nucleotide transfer RNA is filed under the name Trachypithecus cristatus (Silvery lutung). Its description in RNAcentral is "tRNA-His". It matches the Rfam family "tRNA". Rfam says of the family: Transfer RNA (tRNA) molecules are approximately 80 nucleotides in length. Their secondary structure includes four short double-helical elements and three loops (D, anti-codon, and T loops). Lineage: Eukaryota; Metazoa; Chordata; Mammalia; Primates; Cercopithecidae. The record is from RNAcentral.